RNAcentral lists this unclassified non-coding RNA (295 nucleotides) under Hevea brasiliensis (rubber tree). The record is from RNAcentral. Lineage: Eukaryota; Viridiplantae; Streptophyta; Magnoliopsida; Malpighiales; Euphorbiaceae.
GUAAAUUCACAAACUAAAUAAGUCUUAAAAAGCAAAUUCACUAAAAAAUAGCAAAUACAAACCACCUAAAAUAAACUAACAAAUCUCUAACACAAUACAUAAUUAACAAUCAAAUGCUUAUAACCAGUAAAAUAAAGAAACAGUAUGGGUCAUCACAAGUCAAAACAGGUUAGAAAGUUGUCAGUCGACUGAGACUCGUGACAUGAAUAAUAAGUCACGUUAUAUAUUUGUUAAAUCAAGUUAGCAGAUUAACCUAGCUCAAUUCUAACCCCGACAAUUUUCAUUUUGUGUUGAU